GCUCCCAUGGUCUAGUUGGUUAUGACGACGCCUUAACACGGCGUAGGUCGCCGUUUCAAUUGCGGCUGGGAGUA
Molecule: transfer RNA, 74 nt
Filed under: Bigelowiella natans CCMP2755
Lineage: Eukaryota; Cercozoa; Chlorarachniophyceae
Description: tRNA-Val for anticodon AAC
Source: RNAcentral